CAGCCGCCGCGGUAAUACAGAGGGUGCGAGCGUUAAUCGGAUUUACUGGGCGUAAAGCGUGCGUAGGCGGCUUCUUAAGUCGGAUGUGAAAUCCCUGAGCUUAACUUAGGAAUUGCAUUCGAUACUGGGAAGCUAGAGUAUGGGAGAGGAUGGUAGAAUUCCAGGUGUAGCGGUGAAAUGCGUAGAGAUCUGGAGGAAUACCGAUGGCGAAGGCAGCCAUCUGGCCUAAUACUGACGCUGAGGUACGAAAGCAUGGGGAGCAAACAGGAUUAGAUACCCCGGUAGUCCCUGUCUCUAUACA
This 301-nucleotide ribosomal RNA is filed under the name uncultured bacterium. RNAcentral describes it as "partial 16S ribosomal RNA". It matches the Rfam family "Bacterial small subunit ribosomal RNA", at positions 509 to 808 of the family's 1533-position model. The record is from RNAcentral.